UACAGAGGGGGCAAGCGUUGUUCGGAAUUACUGGGCGUAAAGAGCGUGUAGGCGGCCAGGUAGGUCUGGUGUGAAAACUCGAGGCUUAACCUCGAGAUGUCAUCGGAAACCAUCUGGCUAGAGUCCGGAAGAGGAGAGUGGAAUUCCUGGUGUAGCGGUGAAAUGCGCAGAUAUCAGGAAGAACACCAAUGGCGAAAGCAGCUCUCUGGGACGGUACUGACGCUGAGACGCGAAAGCGUGGGGAGCGAACAGG
RNAcentral lists this ribosomal RNA (253 nucleotides) under uncultured bacterium. RNAcentral's name for it is "partial 16S ribosomal RNA". It matches the Rfam family "Bacterial small subunit ribosomal RNA", at positions 524 to 776 of the family's 1533-position model. The record is from RNAcentral.